CCGCAGCCCAAGGAGUUCAUCUGCGAGGCGUGUGGGCAAAUAUUUCAUAGGGAACACCAUGCAUUUGUGGGAACACAUUGAUUCAGUCCACAAUGAUAUUAUAAGAACAGCGUCUGCCCAAUAGCAGAUAGCACCUACAGGAAUACUUACCGUAAUUAAAUAAAGGAGUAUAUGAAAAAACACCCAAAUUAGGUUAUGUAAUUAGGUCUUGCAAUCUUAUUUGGAUUUGGGCGAUUUUUGAUUAUUAGAACCGUAGUUUUAAUCAUUUCCACAAUAGUUAUUGUGAACCUUUACUUAAUUAUUGUAUUUCUAAUGUCAUAGAGUACAGAAGUAGUUGUCUUACCCAUCAUGCACUGACGCAAUAACGUCGGUGACGUACGGAUGGGCCCAGCCAAAUGUAGCAAAGCAUUUUACUGUAGACAUAAUUUUAAGUAGGUAAUCGAAUAUUCAACAAUUUACGUAUCUUCCAGAGAAAUUUUUCUACCAGAUAAACGCGGUGUAGAGCUUAGUUGACAAGAAGAGGUGGAUUGAGGCGGCCCAAUACAUGUUGGAUAAGGAGCAGCGAUGGAGCCAAAAAAAGCAUUCACGACAGGGCAGCGGUUCAAAGAAGGGAUUGACAUCAACCUGGGCCUGUCAACUCUUCGUGCCGUCAUCGGCGCACGCGCCACAUUCAAACAACACGUGCCCUAUAGAAACUCGAAACUGACGAGGCGGCUGCAAGGGAUCUCUCCAGCGAGCCAAGGGUCAAACGGCCGUGAACUCCUGUAGCAGUCACACACACGUGGUCUUCCUCGUAAAGCUACAGCACUGGAGGAGGCAAGACGGAUUCGCUAGGAGAGAGAUCACACACCCUUCUCACCUGCUGCGCGUCUCCAGGGCAGUCCUCCCUAGGCGAGACCAGGCGCAGCCUGGAGUUCGCAGCAGUUGGCAGGACGGUCAAACAUGACGACAGAAA
This is a long non-coding RNA of Hyalella azteca, 955 nucleotides long. RefSeq lists it as uncharacterized. The record is from RefSeq and is a predicted model, not a curated record. The transcript is spliced from 3 exons. Lineage: Eukaryota; Metazoa; Arthropoda; Malacostraca; Amphipoda; Hyalellidae.